UAUGGUGACUAUGGCGAGUGUGUCCACCUCUUCCCAUUCCGAACAGAGAAGUUAAGCCACUCAGCGCAGAUGAUACUGGAGUAAAAUCUGGGAAAGUAUGUCGUCGCCGGGA
RNAcentral lists this ribosomal RNA (112 nucleotides) under Bacteroidota bacterium. The record is from RNAcentral. Lineage: Bacteria; Pseudomonadati; Bacteroidota.